This 598-nucleotide ribosomal RNA is filed under the name uncultured Cryptosporiopsis. RNAcentral describes it as "eukaryotic LSU rRNA". The stretch from base 236 to 389 matches the Rfam family "5.8S ribosomal RNA". The record is from RNAcentral. Lineage: Eukaryota; Fungi; Ascomycota; Leotiomycetes; Helotiales; Dermateaceae.
CUUGGUCAUUUAGAGGAAGUAAAAGUCGUAACAAGGUCUCCGUAGGUGAACCUGCGGAGGGAUCAUUACAGAGACUCUGCCCUUUGGGUAGACCUCCCACCCUGUGUCGUUAUACCUUCGUUGCUUUGGCGGGCCGCGGGGCCCCGGCCCUGCCCCUGGCUCCGGCUAGGGCGCGCCCGCCAGAGGACCUCAAAACCUGAAUGUUAGUGUCGUCUGAGUACUAUAUAAUAGUUAAAACUUUCAACAACGGAUCUCUUGGUUCUGGCAUCGAUGAAGAACGCAGCGAAAUGCGAUAAGUAAUGUGAAUUGCAGAAUUCAGUGAAUCAUCGAAUCUUUGAACGCACAUUGCGCCCCUUGGUAUUCCGGGGGGCAUGCCUGUUCGAGCGUCAUUACAACCCUCAAGCUCUGCUUGGUCUUGGGCGUCACCGGUCCCCGGUGUGCCCUAAAAUCAGUGGCGGCACCAUCUGGCUCUAAGCGUAGUACAUACUCUCGCUACAGACGUCCGGUGGAUGCUGGCCAGCAACCCCCAAUUUAUCAAGGUUGACCUCGGAUCAGGUAGGGAUACCCGCUGAACUUAAGCAUAUCAAUAAGCGGAGGA